Molecule: unclassified non-coding RNA, 164 nt
Filed under: Fusarium tricinctum
Lineage: Eukaryota; Fungi; Ascomycota; Sordariomycetes; Hypocreales; Nectriaceae
Description: partial internal transcribed spacer 2
Source: RNAcentral
CAACCCUCAAGCCCCCGGGUUUGGUGUUGGGGAUCGGCUCUGCCUUCUGGCGGUGCCGCCCCCGAAAUACAUUGGCGGUCUCGCUGCAGCCUCCAUUGCGUAGUAGCUAACACCUCGCAACUGGAACGCGGCGCGGCCAUGCCGUAAAACCCCAACUUCUGAAU